AUUGAACGCUGGCGGCAUGCUUUACACAUGCAAGUCGAACGGCAGCGGGGGCUUCGGCCUGCCGGCGAGUGGCGAACGGGUGAGUAAUGCAUCGGAACGUGCCCAUGUCGUGGGGGAUAACGUAUCGAAAGUUACGCUAAUACCGCAUAAGCCCUGAGGGGGAAAGUGGGGGACCGCAAGGCCUCACGCGAAUGGAGCGGCCGAUGUCAGAUUAGCUAGUUGGUGGGGUAAAGGCUCACCAAGGCGACGAUCUGUAGCGGGUCUGAGAGGACGACCAGCCACACUGGGACUGAGACACGGCCCAGACUCCUACGGGAGGCAGCAGUGGGGAAUUUUGGACAAUGGGCGCAAGCCUGAUCCAGCAAUGCCGCGUGCAGGAAGAAGGCCUCGGUUGUAACU
This 399-nucleotide ribosomal RNA is filed under the name uncultured bacterium. RNAcentral describes it as "bacterial SSU rRNA". It matches the Rfam family "Bacterial small subunit ribosomal RNA", at positions 29 to 431 of the family's 1533-position model. The record is from RNAcentral.